CAUAGCCACCAGUAUUGGUACUUUAGGUCUCGGUACAUCUUGGUACUCCGGAGGUGGAUGGAUAGUUUAGAGGCAUGGGCAGCCUUGAGAACGUUCAUCCUGACAGCAACAUGGACCUAAAUAUGGUCCCAAAAUCUGCACAACCCAUCAUCUAAAAGCCUAAAAUUAGGAAACUCGUCAAAAGUGAACUUAUUAAAAAUUUUGGUGAUUUCUUGUUCCGUGGAUGGAGCUUCCCAAAUCUUCAUAAAAAGAUCAGGCAAAGCUCAGAUCUAAGCGAGAUAGGCACCAUUGUCAUAGUGGAUGAGGUGAAGUGCCUACAUAGCAUCAACUAAUUUUCAACUUGUGGCAAGGUUUGGGCCAACACAACAGAUUUCUUCUGACUCAGCGCAUCUGCAACCACAAUACCUUUACUGGAAUGGUAGAUGAUCUUGUAGUCAUAGUCCUUUAGGAGGUCAAUCCAAUGUCUUUGUCUCAUGUUCAACUCCCUCUGCAAGAAACUU
This 500-nucleotide long non-coding RNA is filed under the name Carica papaya (papaya). Its description in RNAcentral is "long non-coding RNA (CPAP_LNC002240)". Lineage: Eukaryota; Viridiplantae; Streptophyta; Magnoliopsida; Brassicales; Caricaceae. The record is from RNAcentral.